UAGGGCAGUGCUUCAUGUGGUCCAGUUCAGCCAUAGUCUGUGCUUUAUAUUAAAGAGAACAAAACAGGGCUGGACAGAGUGUUCUGGGAAACUAAUAAUCAAAUAGGCUGCAGCCCAUAUUUGCUUUUGGGAAUGUGAUAUAGGGGAAUUACUUGGAGAUUUUCUAUUAAAAACAAAAAUGAAAAAAAGCACCAGAGAAAGCAAGGGAGCCUAAUAAUAGCUUCUUAACCACAGAAAGUGAGAAACAACAUAGAUAUGAUAAUUGAAUAUGGUUUUGAUGGUCAGCAUCUGCCUUUAUUCUACAGCUGUAUUUUCGGAUUUGAGGCUUGAUCCUGGCAGCCAUGACGACAACUUUUUGUUCACUGGAUUUUUUUGCCUGACAACUUCCUUCCACUGCUGUUGAAAAUUAAGAUUCCUUGCUUGGCAGCUGCCCUUCCUUAGCUUCUUGGAGCACCGAGCCUUCUUUUUCUCCAACAGCUCCUCACAGCUGUGUAGAGCCUGGUCAUCAUUACCAACAAAUGAAAUGGAAUGGAAACAUUAACUCUGUGGAAUCUUUGAAGAAGCUGGUAGCAAUGAAGUUAAGAAAGCAUUAACAAUGGAAAGCAUUUAGGAAAAGGUCAGCACUCAGAUUAAUGUAUGCUCUCGCUACUGGGCUGCUUCGGGGCUAAGAUGUGCUCGCGCUAUAGAUGAAGGGACCAGUUUUGGGAUGUAGUUAGUCACGGGCUUCCUUCUGUGAGACAGAGGUCUGUAGCUGCUUGAUGAAAAUAAUUACCACUACCAUUCUUUGCCGCCUUUCAUGGCUCCGAUGGGAAACCGGCUAAUCAUGCUGCUUCCUUUCUUAGGAUUUCUGCCAAGCAGCCAAUGUGCUUCUCUCUUCCCACUAGCAGGCCAGCCUUGAUCCUUGGUAGAUUUGACAGAGCAGGAUAUGGUAUCCAUGGGACCUCCAAUAGUUUUGUUGUGCUGCAAAUGAACUGGUAGCAACA
Molecule: long non-coding RNA, 983 nt
Organism: Lacerta agilis (Sand lizard)
Lineage: Eukaryota; Metazoa; Chordata; Lepidosauria; Squamata; Lacertidae
Exons: 3
Source: RefSeq, a predicted model, not a curated record